GAGAGACUACUGAUGGAGACGCU
Molecule: non-coding RNA, 23 nt
Filed under: Arabidopsis thaliana (thale cress)
Lineage: Eukaryota; Viridiplantae; Streptophyta; Magnoliopsida; Brassicales; Brassicaceae
Source: RNAcentral